AACUAGGGUUUUAUGGCUUUGUACACCUCUAUGUAAGCACCAGACAAGUGUACCAUUCUCUUCUUCAUUUGCGGUCUUCGCAAUGGAAGCGGUGCAUCUUUAACAGACGUCUGUGUUAGGUUCAAAGCACUUGCGAGUUUUCUCUUCUCUUCUGCUAUUAGGUAUUAUUAGUCAGACUCUGCACGUUGCCUCCCGGGCUUUUCUGAAGUUAAUCUAGUGAAGGUGAAUACCCCAAUGCAUGUGCUAAACUUCGCCGUUUAGUGUUGCAGUUUAGACUUUUCUCCUUUACACGGCUGAUCUGUGUCAAAUCAACGGCUACAUCUUCUCCUC
This 330-nucleotide unclassified non-coding RNA is filed under the name Hevea brasiliensis (rubber tree). The stretch from base 179 to 323 matches the Rfam family "small nucleolar RNA snoR134". Lineage: Eukaryota; Viridiplantae; Streptophyta; Magnoliopsida; Malpighiales; Euphorbiaceae. The record is from RNAcentral.